This 253-nucleotide unclassified non-coding RNA is filed under the name uncultured bacterium. RNAcentral describes it as "partial contains 16S ribosomal RNA and 16S-23S ribosomal RNA intergenic spacer region". It matches the Rfam family "Bacterial small subunit ribosomal RNA", at positions 108 to 354 of the family's 1533-position model. The record is from RNAcentral.
GAGUAACACGUGGGCAACCUGCCUGUAAGACUGGGAUAACUUCGGGAAACCGGAGCUAAUACCGGAUAAUUCUUAUCAACUCAUGUUGGUAAGCUAAAAGACGGCGUAAACUGUCACUUACAGAUGGGCCCGCGGCGCAUUAGCUAGUUGGUGUUGUAACGGCUCACCAAGGCAAAGAUCGGUAGCUGGUCUAAGAGGAUGAUCAGCCUCAUNGGUACCGAGACACAGGACNGACUCCUACUAAUGCAGUAGA